Molecule: long non-coding RNA, 1902 nt
Organism: Gallus gallus (chicken)
Lineage: Eukaryota; Metazoa; Chordata; Aves; Galliformes; Phasianidae
Source: Ensembl
AUCUCUACUUGGAGACUGCUUUCUCUGGAGUGUUUGAUGAGGCCUGAUCUUCAGAAAGGGGGAGAUUUUCAAGAGUCCUACAAUCAGUAUCUCAAAGCCUUCUGAAGAUAUAACCAUUUAUUGCAGCGCUUGGCUGGGUAAUGUUUCAGGGGAAAAAAAUGUCAUCCUGUCUGAAUACACCAUGUUAGCAAGAGAGGAAAUGUACCUAUCGACAGAUGAAUAGACAAAAAGAGCCUGCAAUGCUUGAGAAAUAACUGGGACUUCUCAAUCAUUUCUAUCUACCUGACAGCAAAGUUCACCUGUGAAGCAAGGGCAAAGUCUAAACAGCUACAGCAUAAUUUGAAAAACACUGAUGGGAGUGGGGUUGUGGAGUAAGAGCACCAGAGUGCUGAUGGGUCUGGUGCGUUCCUGUUAUAUACUGAUGGCAGGGAUUGCACAAACAGAGCUUCCUGGGCUGGCCUGAAAUCUCAAGAGGAGCACUGUAUCACAGCAGGAAUAGGCUGAAAUUCAUGGAAGCUUCAGCAAAGGAGCAAAGCAAUCAGUGCGUUUCCUUGCUUGUCUUUGCAAGCAGAGAUCGUUCAUAAAACGGAACAGGGCUUCUCAAUUUCAAGGAAAGAACAAUUUAUGGACACUAUUUUUUUUUUUUACAGUUUUACUGUAAAAAAUGUGAGAUGCCACCAUGAUGUGAAAGUUCACUGGGAGUUUAUUUAAUUAGGGGUAGUCGGGGUGGAAGAACAUAGGGCUGCAGAGGGUGGAUGCCUGUUAGGAGGUGGCUGAGUGCUCCUUAGGAGCAUGGUGGCCCUGUUCCAGAUGGUGCCCAUGCUGAGGGUUGUUGUGUGACCACACCUGGAAAAGUGCUUGUAUUCCUGAAUUGUGAGAAGAAGAGUAAGUGAAGGACUUACCAGUCUGUCAAGAACUGGAAUUCUCAUGUUUUCAUGUCCCACGUUCAAUGACUCUUCUGUUUUUUCCCUUUUUUCCGAAGCUCUGGUACAUAUAAAGAUUUUUUUCUUCCAUCCCCAUUUUCAGAACCCAACCAGGAACCAGAGGUGCUAGAAAUACUUCUAAGGGAUGUCUGCAUAACCAAUUGCCCAAUUUCCCAGCCUUUAAUGGCAGCUAGUGGAAUUUGCACAUCUGUCUCUGUCUGCCAUCCUGCAAACCAGGUACAGCAAAUAACAAUGACGGAAGCAAAGUGCCCCAAACAAACCCUUUGUUAUAGAGAGGACUGAAGAGGGUUAUUUUUUUACUAUUUUAAAUUUGCCUUCAGUUUCAAGAGAUUUUAUUCUUUAUGUAACUACUUGCUGCUGAUAGAGGAGAGGACAUCAGAAGUAUGACACAGCUAAUUUUAGGACUGAGAUGAGUAACUCUUUAAUGACAUAUAUCUUUACAUAUAAAUCCCAGGUGGCCACUUGCACUGUCCACUAAACUUACAGUAUUCAGCAAGAUAAAUGUAGUUGGGGGGGAGGGGAUAAAAGAAAACCCCAACCCCAAGAAAACGCAUUAUCCAAAGUUCUCUUUGGCCCAGUCGCCUCAGCUACUCAGGCAUUGUCUCCACAAUGGCAAAAGCAGAGCCCCUCUUUGUUCCUUCCUAAUUUUCCUGCUCAAAAAGCAGUCCUGAGCUUGGUCUGACUUGUAUCGACCCGUGUUGUGGCACAGCUGAUGGCUGGGUCAUUUCUGGUGGUGUACCACUAGCCCAGAAAGGUUUUUGCUCCAUUAUAAACUGGUGGGACCCACAGACAAUGCUAUCAGUGUCUCAUCCCUAACUCAUCAGCCAGUGGGCCAGCUGAGGCUGUCAGUGCCACCACCUGGCACUGAUCUUUCUCUGGGUAGCAGCAUCCUUCCAGGCUUGUUUCUCCAGUUACUACAAAAGAGGAAGCCUUUCCUAAGCAAUUCAGGUAGUUUGUC